UGACACGAGGAUUUUCAGUCCUNUGCUCUACCAGCUGAG
This 39-nucleotide transfer RNA is filed under the name Pseuderanthemum graciliflorum. RNAcentral's name for it is "partial tRNA-Phe". Lineage: Eukaryota; Viridiplantae; Streptophyta; Magnoliopsida; Lamiales; Acanthaceae. The record is from RNAcentral.